This is a small nuclear RNA of Lathyrus oleraceus (garden pea), 164 nucleotides long. RefSeq annotates it as U1 spliceosomal RNA. NCBI's taxonomy places the organism in Eukaryota, Viridiplantae, Streptophyta, Magnoliopsida, Fabales, Fabaceae. The record is from RefSeq and is a predicted model, not a curated record. The transcript has a single exon.
AUACUUAGCUGGAUGGGGUCAAUAGGUGAUCAUGAAGACAUAUGGCCUAGUCUAGGAGAAUUACCUUUAUUUCCUUAGGAGGGUUGCUAUCCUAAGGUCUAUUAAAGCGGUGGAACCAACCUUAUAAUUUGUUGUAGUGGGGGCUGCAUCCAUGUUGUCCCCUC